RNAcentral lists this ribosomal RNA (444 nucleotides) under uncultured bacterium. Its description in RNAcentral is "partial 16S ribosomal RNA". It matches the Rfam family "Bacterial small subunit ribosomal RNA", at positions 339 to 795 of the family's 1533-position model. The record is from RNAcentral.
CUACGGGGUGCAGCAGUGGGGAAUAUUGCACAAUGGGCGCAAGCCUGAUGCAGCAACGCCGCGUGGGGGAUGACGGCCUUCGGGUUGUAAACCUCUUUUAGCAGGGAAGAAGCGAAAGUGACGGUACCUGCAGAAAAAGCACCGGCUAACUACGUGCCAGCAGCCGCGGUAAUACGUAGGGUACAAGCGUUGUCCGGAAUUAUUGGGCGUAAAGAGCUCGUAGGCGGUUGGUCGCGUCUGCUGUGAAAACCCGAGGCUCAACCUCGGGCCUGCAGUGGGUACGGGCCAACUCGAGGGCGGUAGGGGAGAUCGGAAUUCCUGGUGUAGCGGUGGAAUGCGCAGAUAUCAGGAGGAACACCAAUGGCGAAGGCAGAUCUCUGGGCCGUAACUGACGCUGAGGAGCGAAAGCGUGGGGAGCGAACAGGAUUAGAUACCCCCGUAGUC